RNAcentral lists this ribosomal RNA (492 nucleotides) under uncultured bacterium. RNAcentral describes it as "partial 16S ribosomal RNA". It matches the Rfam family "Bacterial small subunit ribosomal RNA", at positions 29 to 507 of the family's 1533-position model. The record is from RNAcentral.
AGUGAACGCUGGCGGUAGGCCUAACACAUGCAAGUCGAACGGCAGCACAGUAAGAGCUUGCUCUUACGGGUGGCGAGUGGCGGACGGGUGAGGAUUACAUCGGAAUCUACUUUUUCGUGGGGGAUAACGUAGGGAAACUUACGCUAAUACCGCAUACGACCUACGGGUGAAAGCAGGGGAUAUUCGGACCUUGCGCGAUUGAAUGAGCCGAUGUCGGAUUAGCUAGUUGGCGGGGUAAAGGCCCACCAAGGCGACGAUCCGUAGCUGGUCUGAGAGGAUGAUCAGCCACACUGGAACUGAGACACGGUCCAGACUCCUACGGGAGGCAGCAGUGGGGAAUAUUGGACAAUGGGCGCAAGCCUGAUCCAGCCAUACCGCGUGGGUGAAGAAGGCCUUCGGGUUGUAAAGCCCUUUUGUUGGGAAAGAAAAGCAGCAGGUUAAUACCCCGCUGUUCUGACGGUACCCAAAGAAUAAGCACCGGCUAACUUCGUG